Molecule: long non-coding RNA, 419 nt
Organism: Sebastes umbrosus (honeycomb rockfish)
Lineage: Eukaryota; Metazoa; Chordata; Actinopteri; Perciformes; Sebastidae
Exons: 3
Source: RefSeq, a predicted model, not a curated record
UUCCUCCUGAGUCUUAUACCAGCUCAGGGCCAAAAGGCCCUGCCUCAGUAAUUGCCUGAUGAGUGAUAGACUGCUAGUAAAUGACAUUGGUAAUUCAGCCGUGUCCAACUGGGUCCGACAUGCAGCUUUAGCUGCUAACUACUGCUGCCCUCUCAGUGACCCUCAGACAGAACACACACCAGGCUAAUGUGUCCAGGGGCUGUCUGCUGUGAGCUCUCCAAAGUGUUAGCAUGUGGAGACGGGCUCUGAGUUGAUGAAGGAGACACAUGAGUGAAGAUGGAUUUGACUGAUACAGAUUAUGAUGAAUUUGUGAUUUGCUUGAGUUUAAACAGCAUUAAGUCACCUAAACUGAAGUUCACAUCCGUCAUAGUAAGAAGGUUACUCGAUAAGGAGCAGCCUCUUACCCUGACGGGUGUGAA